CAGUAGCCGCGGUAAUACGGAGGGGGCUAGCGUUAUUCGGAAUUACUGGGCGUAAAGCGCACGUAGGCGGCUUCGCAAGUCAGAGGUGAAAGCCUGGAGCUCAACUCCAGAAUUGCCUUUGAGACUGCGUCGCUCGAAUCCGGGAGAGGUGAGUGGAAUUCCGAGUGUAGAGGUGAAAUUCGUAGAUAUUCGGAAGAACACUAGUGGCGAAGGCGGCUCACUGGACCGGCAUUGACGCUGAGGUGCGAAAGCGUGGGGAGCAAACAGGAUUAGAUACCCCCGUAGUCCCUGUCUCUUAUAC
This 301-nucleotide ribosomal RNA is filed under the name uncultured bacterium. Its description in RNAcentral is "partial 16S ribosomal RNA". It matches the Rfam family "Bacterial small subunit ribosomal RNA", at positions 509 to 807 of the family's 1533-position model. The record is from RNAcentral.